GCAAACUUGGUCAUUUAGAGGAAGUAAAAGUCGUAACAAGGUUUCCGUAGGUGAACCUGCGGAAGGAUCAUUAGUGAAAUAACCUGGGACUUGACGUCCCAAACCAUCUCACAUCCACACACCUUUGUGCACUGUUGAAUGGGCCUAAUAAAUAUAUAUAUAUUUUUGGGCGUAUUCUAUUAUCUUAAAAACAUCUUAUGUAUGUAAGGAAAGUGUUAUCGAAAGAAAUAAAAAAAAUAAUAACUUUCAACAACGGAUCUCUUGGCUCUCACAUCGAUGAAGAACGCAGC
This 290-nucleotide unclassified non-coding RNA is filed under the name uncultured fungus. RNAcentral's name for it is "partial contains small subunit ribosomal RNA, internal transcribed spacer 1, and 5.8S ribosomal RNA". The stretch from base 1 to 73 matches the Rfam family "Eukaryotic small subunit ribosomal RNA", at positions 1759 to 1831 of the family's 1831-position model. Lineage: Eukaryota; Fungi. The record is from RNAcentral.